RNAcentral lists this ribosomal RNA (229 nucleotides) under uncultured bacterium. RNAcentral's name for it is "partial 16S ribosomal RNA". It matches the Rfam family "Bacterial small subunit ribosomal RNA", at positions 568 to 796 of the family's 1533-position model. The record is from RNAcentral.
UACGUAGGCGGAAAACUAAGUCAGUAGUGAAAUCCUGCAGCUUAACUGUAGAACUGUUAUUGAUACUGGUUUUCUUGAAUAUAGUUGAGGUAGGCGGAAUGUGUAAUGUAGCGGUGAAAUGCUUAGAUAUUACACAGAACACCGAUUGCGAAGGCAGCUUACUAAGCUAUGAUUGACGCUGAGGUACGAAAGCGUGGGGAGCGAACAGGAUUAGAUACCCUGGUAGUCC